This 2946-nucleotide ribosomal RNA is filed under the name Triticum aestivum (bread wheat). Its description in RNAcentral is "partial small subunit ribosomal RNA". The record is from RNAcentral. Lineage: Eukaryota; Viridiplantae; Streptophyta; Magnoliopsida; Poales; Poaceae.
UACUCCUCGCUUGUCAUGGACCUGCACCUGCGGCGGCCGGCGUAGUAGCGGAACAACGGGUCUUCUUCGCUGGCAGCUGCGACGGCGACGGAGGUAGAGAUAGUGCAGCGGCAGCCGCUACCGGUGCCGGGAGGGUAAGGGCAGGACGACGACGGGAGCCAGGGAAGGCUACGAAGGGGAGAGAAGGUAAAGAGAAGAGCAGAAGACCCUACGUGAGGCACACGAUUGUAUCCGAACUGAAACUGAAAAGAGUAGCUCCGACCGAAACAUAGGUAAGGUUAGGGUCUACGUUCGACGUGAGUUCCUUUGUAGUUAUACCAACUACCUCAAACCCACCCUACCUAAAACCUCCCACAAAAAUCCAAACCACGACGACAGUCACACGGUUUCUGUCGACUAAAGUACCUAACCAACUAGUACUUUUAACUAGGACUUUCCUCGUACAAGUCAGUAUUUAACUUCUGAUAUGUAAAAUGUUCUCUGUACCACGGGUUUUUAAAAUUGUAGGGUACGCCCUCGUCCGGUCACCUCCACGACUUCUCCUUGCUCGGUGUGCUCGACGCGUUGUAAAUGGCUAGACCCUCGUCCCGAGGUUAGUUGGCAACGUAGUUACACGAAACACUCCGCUCGUUGUUGCUACAACAAUGGUAAGUCUCCAGAACCCAAAAUGAAAGUGAACCAGAACACGAUUGGGGACCGUGACUCUUACACUAUGGCUAUCUCAUGGAAGGAUCGAACUACCUAUAGCUAUUCAACUUACUCAAACGAACCCUACUCGUACAUAACCCACAACGAUACUCUCUCCACUUCUUCAUGGUUGUUUUCUCCUUCAGACCUGAUCCACCCAAGACCUAACCUCCCACAGAUGGUUACAAACGCCAUUAUAUGUACCUGAAGAACCUGUAAGGAUCCUGAGACCGACCACACGUGUGUAAGUUGACCUGAGAAGGAUCCCGCACGAAACAGUCGUGACUACUGAAGUUUUAGCAACGUCUUGAACUAUCUUUGUUCGAAAGGGAGGUGUUCCAACUUAAACCCUUUGCGUUAGAAGUGGAAAACAGUUUGUGGGGUAUACGUUGUUUCCCUAGGGUGUAGUUACAACUAACAGUCUUCGUUGGCGUACCCAGUCGUCGAGGAGGGGGGCUACGUUGUUCUCGUGUGUUGUGCCUGCUAUUACUGAAUCCGCCGCUACUGGAGUAACACAAAAUACGAAACCUCGUCUAGGGCCUCGUAUACGUUGUUUAUAUACUCUUCGUGUUCUUAGACGUACUUCACCUCAACUUCUCGUGAGACUUAAGACAACCCUUCAGUUCCUCCUUCCUCCUAUUCCCGCCUCCUCUACAUUGUAAGCAACGUCCACCUUCGUUGCGUCGUAGGCGCGGAUUAUGGUCGCGGAGUCGAGUUGUUGGACUUCACCUUUCCGUUCACAGUCGACCGGGGUCCUGAGGAUCGAAGCUUCCACGACCACUAUGGCACAACUUUGUUCCCGUCUCAACGCGAGUUCAGCCGUUCCCCGGAAAUCUGAACCCUUUCCUCCAACUUGUCCUCCAAAGUGUCGUCCUACAAAGUUAUCUCCAGCUACGUCUUCGUUCAGGUGCACAGUUGGUACCGUUCCUACGACUCCCGCAACGACGGUUACUACCGUGCUAAUAGGAUAGUGUCCCGUGUGACUUUCGUUACCUUCGGCGACGUUACCUUACCCUACUACCGGGUAGCACACUGGAAAAAGGUCAACCCUCGCUUCUGAUGCUCACCAAAGUGGUCCUUCACGGUGGAUUUAGAAGUUUCUAGGGUAUACAUCAACGGUGAGGGAGACGACGCUACGUGAGCCUAAGUCGCCCCGGAUGUAAACUGUUUUGCGGUCUCCGUCGAUCCCGAUUACACUUAUUCUAACGUGUAGGUUAACGUUGUCUGUAGAGAAGAAGAGAAAAACUGUCGCUAGGUUUUCAAAGGUGGAGUUUACUCUAGUUGUUCGGAUAGAAACUACGUAGAGGACAACAGUGGUGUCGUUGACAACCCAGAAAUCCAUUAAGUUGAUAGAGACCUAAACCUUGUGGUUUACAACUAAGGUCGUCACCCGGUUCAACACGAAGCUUCUUCCGACAGUUCUUCUUCUUUCCCCGACGGGUCAGUGGACUACCCCAAGACUUCUACUUCUUCUAGUUCUAACUACGUUGGCCCCUGAGAAAUGUAGUCGUCAUACAAUACUUGUCUAUGUUCAAUUCCUUUGGUUUCCUUCCGCUUAGAGAGGAACGAAAGUAACUUUAUCUACCGAAGGUGUGGAGGGAAGUCUUAAAGGUACGGAGCGAUUUCGGUGCUCGGCUCUAACUGUUACUCCAGUACUGAGAGAUGGAGUUUUGAAAGUUGUAUCUCGUUUAAACGUCGUCCUUCUUCGACUUCUUCAAACGUAAGAGUCAAAAAUACUCACCAGUUGACCGACGACUCGGACUUCAAAAACUAGGAUUUGACACACUUUCCCUCAAAUCCUACCGGAUACUCUCGUCGUUGUAUAGUUCAACGCUAGAUGAAAAGAAAUAUCAACAGGUCUUCUCCGUGACCCGACAUCAACAACGUUUGAACCGUUACUUCGUUAAGUUGUAAAAGUUGGGUUAUUUCUUGUUGUUUCUACACGUUGACGAUGUGUUCCGUUGGUCGUUAUACUAGUGCUUGGAUUUGUCUCACCGUUCCUCACUUGGUCGUAAGUUUGUACUAGAGCUAAACAAACUCCUCAAAUUAGGUGUCGUUCCUUGAAUGAUACUAACGUCUAAAAAACGAUAAGACAUGAACCUCUUGAAGCUACCACACCAGUACCGUAGUAAACUAGUCCUUAUGUAAGGUUUCGACGCCUACUCCUAACGUAGUCUAGACAACUCCGUGGGACUGUUGUUCAACCUGGGACGCCUCGUCGACUUCUUCUACGACGUAGUUUUCCCACCAGCAAGAACU